This 253-nucleotide ribosomal RNA is filed under the name uncultured bacterium. RNAcentral describes it as "partial 16S ribosomal RNA". It matches the Rfam family "Bacterial small subunit ribosomal RNA", at positions 524 to 776 of the family's 1533-position model. The record is from RNAcentral.
UACGAAGGGGGCUAGCGUUGUUCGGAAUUACCGGGCGUAAAGGGCGCGCAGGCGGUUCCUCAAGUCAGGCGUGAAAGCCCCGGGCUCAACCUGGGAACUGCGCUUGAGACUGCGGGACUGGAGUUCGGGAGAGGAGAGCGGAAUUCCCAGUGUAGAGGUGAAAUUCGUAGAUAUUGGGAAGAACACCGGUGGCGAAGGCGGCUCUCUGGACCGACACUGACGCUGAGGCGCGAAAGCGUGGGUAGCAAACAGG